AAACCCACGUGACAUGGAUGUACUGUACAUAUUAUGCUUUAAGAUACAAUCGUUUCUACAAAGCAAAGUAAAACCCACAAACAAUCUGCUCGCAAAGGCAAGGGUUAUUAUAGAGAUGUGGGGUGAAGAGGUAGGAGUGUAUGAGCUGUAAGAGGCUUUUCUAGUCGGGACUUAAGGAGAAUCUGUCACAUCUCCCUAAAGGCCAGGUGCUACGGGUCUAUCAAAGCAGUUUUAUUAACCAGAUCUAUCCAGUGGAAUUACCAGGAGCCUAUUACCGCACCAGCUUCGCUAUGAACUAAUAGAACUGUUCACAGCUUUUUCGAGAAUCACAUCUGAGAUAGAACUACAGACAAUCAGAUACGGAGGAGGCGGAGCUGAGCGAGUAAGCAGUAAUUAUGCACUCACACUGUUGUAAGUGGAUGACACCCAACUGGAUGCUGUUUGCAGAAAAGACAGCAGGAGAAAAAGUCUCUAUUCUCCCUCUGGAGCUGGAAAGCAGAGACAAAAUGUUCCAGAGCCCGUGGAGCAGAGAGCCCACAGCGAGCAAAGGGUUUGCUGCCUCCACCACCAUUAACGGAGGACCCUUGAGAUAUGACCAACUUCUGUUUCCCCGCUGUUACACAUUUUCAAGUUUGAAGAGGUAGCUUUUUUUUUUUACCCUAAGGAUACUAGUCAUUGAUGCACUUGAGAUCUACAAGAUCUUAUGUUCUUAAAGUCACGAUAGGAGUCCACCUGAAAUAGUCUCCUGGUCUAAAUCUAUAAUAACUCCUUUCUCAUGUUGCCUUCAGCCCCUACAAAGUUAAAGCCACCUAAAUAACAUCAAAAGGCUAUUUUCUUGUGACUUGUAAAAUAACAUAUUCAAAUCUCCCACACUCACCUGUUAAGAGCCAUUGUGACGGUGGCUCCGGGCUGCAUUUCGUGACUUGCGGCAACAGCGGCUUCUGCCAGGGAUGCUACAGCCUGCGUGGCCUCUGAGGCCUGAGUGGUU
Etheostoma spectabile (orangethroat darter) is the source of this 988-nucleotide long non-coding RNA. RefSeq lists it as uncharacterized. Lineage: Eukaryota; Metazoa; Chordata; Actinopteri; Perciformes; Percidae. The record is from RefSeq and is a predicted model, not a curated record. The transcript has 3 exons.